Molecule: long non-coding RNA, 3851 nt
Filed under: Macaca mulatta (Rhesus monkey)
Lineage: Eukaryota; Metazoa; Chordata; Mammalia; Primates; Cercopithecidae
Description: lncRNA (ENSMMUG00000062793.1)
Source: RNAcentral
ACACAGACUUAAAAGACACAACAAUUAAAAACCUGCAACCCUAAAGUCAUUUACUGCUGGGACAAACAGUCCUUAUGUAUGGAUUACAGCUAUUGAUUUUGGUGAAGGUAAUUAUGAAGUAUGUAGAUCAAUCUGGGACAUCAUGGAAAUAAAGGAAUAUUGGCAAAUAUGUAUUUAUGAAUAGAUGUCACUCAAGCUCAGUGAAAUUGACUGAAGUAAUAGCUUGGAUAUGAAAAAGAGCAAUUUUCUGAAGAAACAUCUAUUGUUUAGCAGUCCAAAGUAUGAAGGGAACUACCACUACAUAUAUUUCCUGGAGAAAAAGGUUCCUAGAAUCUCCUCAUUUCUUCUACAACCCUUCGGGUGCCAAAGAAUUGAAUCUGCAGCUCUCACCUAGGACCCUGACAAUUUCCAUGGCAAUCUUGGCUGCCCAGGAUUUCUCAGCUGCUCUCAGACUCCACCAGAGCAAGGGACACUCUGUGAGGCAGCUGUGGGCCAGUCUUUGCUGACACAGCACCCAGACUUUCACCUCCGAAGUCUGUGUCUCCCAGGGAUCUGGGUUCCCCUCUUUACAUUCUUCAGUCCUGUUUGGGAGUUUAGCAUUUCUUCACCAAGCUUCUUUUUGCAAGGGACCCACAAGUUCUACAGGAAUCUUGUUUCUCUCAGACCCUCUCUUCCUAGCCCAGCAGAGGAUCUCAACUGGAUCCCAGAAUGGGAAGGCGUUUCUGACUCGUCAUGCAUUCCUCCAAAUCUAUGGUUUACGCUUAUGAUAGAGGCAGGAGGCAUCCAAGCGUUCCCGGCGAAACCUCGCCUUCAAGCCUAAACCAGCCUGAAGGCUGAAAAACCGGACAGCUGGUCCCAGAUGAAGCCCGCCCUUUCCUGAUUCUGAAUAACGCCCUCCUGCGCGCUGGUAGGACGGGGCGGAAGUUCACGCCAUUUGCAGCGGGGAGGAGCCUGUUCUUGUGUGGCGACCUGGGCUUCGAUCUGUGAGGCGGGAAACCUGCUGGCAGGACUCUUGCUUUGGUGAGAGUUUUUUCUUUUUCCUUUUCCCCCAAUACAUUCCGUUUUCCUCACCCUUCUGUGUGUCCGCAAGCCUAACCUUUCCUGGUCAUGUGACAAGAGCCGGUUUUAGCUGAACUAAGGGGAAAGUUCUGCAACGUUUAGACAUCUCUUUUGAAACACAAUAACCUUUAAGAUAACAAAAAAAUGUUAAAUAGCAAUUUGCUAAACAUCAGGAAAGACAUAGAAGUCAAAAAAUGAAAGCUUUUAAAGACAAAAGUCAUAUCAGAUACAAUUAAAAAUAUUCAGAAAAUUUGGAACCAAGUUCAUAUUCAGGAACAUGGCAUACAUUUUGUAGGGACUCACUCAAAGUAGAGAAAAAAAAAAAAGAUAUAAAAAUGCUUACUACUAGUUCUUUCUCCCAAACCCAAUUGCAGAAAUGCCAUAGAAGUAACAGGAAAGUGUAUGGAUUUGAGCAUUUAACAUUAAAAAUUGGGAUGGUUCUGAGGAGACAAACUGCUUGUGUCCUCACACGGGAGAAAACAGUAGCUGUGGUAGGAGAGGCACCAGGAUCUAAGGAUAAAGGGAAGGAGUUAGAGAGCUAGGUUUUCUUUCCAUUUCCAGUCUUCCAUUAUUCCUUCCAUUAUUUGAAGACCUACGCUUGUCCCUCCACUAGUGGAUUUUUUUUUAGAAAGCCAAACAAAAGCAAACAUUAAAACCAAAAAUCCUGGCCGGGCCUGGGGGCUCACGCCUGUAAUCCCAGCACUAUGGGAGGCUGGGGUGGGCAGAUCACCUGAGGUCAGGAGUUCAAGACCAGCCUGGCCAACAUGGCGAAACUCUAUCUCUACUAAAAAUACAAAAAUUAGCUGGGCAUGGUGGUGCAUGCCUGUAAUCCCAGCUACUCCAGAGGCUGAGGCAGGAGAAUCUCUUGAACCCGGGAGGAUGAGGCUGCAGUGAGCUGAGAUUGUGCCACUGUACUCCAGCCUGGGCAACAGAGCGAGACUCCGUCUCAAAAAAUAAAAAUAAAAAAAGAAAAGCAACAACAACAGAAAACCCCAAAUCCCCAUCAGUUCUAUCCCAGUGCAGCCAGGAUCCACAGCAACCUCGGGGCCAUGCUGGUGCUCACUGUGGUGAGGAACCGGUAGACAGCAAAUUGGGGCUGGUAUUGGGUAUUUUGUCACUCCACCCCACACCCCACUUCCCAUUUGAGGGCUAGUAAAUUAAAAUCAACAGAGGAACCUCACGUAGCGGACAGGGAGUAGGAGCUGUGCACAUAAUGAUGGGCAGAGUCAGGCUGUAGCGCCAGUGUCUUCCACUUUGGGGCAUGCCCCCGUCUUGUUUAAGCAUAUUAAGAGAGCCAUGAUAACCAGGGAUGAGAGUUUGACUCUGUCUCCCAUUUCAUAUUACCAACCAGGGAAAUAUGAGCUCACAGGAAACAUUACAAAAAAGGUAUGGAUAGACAUAUACCUUUUAAAAUUAUUGUCCAGCCUUAAAAAAAAAAAUAAAGCUAAUAUUAUUCAUCCUUAAAAAAAAUCCUGAAAUAUGCUGCAUAGAUGAACCUUGAAGAUGUUAUGCUAAAUAAAGUAAGCCAGUCAUAGAAGAACAAAUACUGCAUGAUUCCACUUAUGUGAGGUAUCUAAAACAGUCAAACAUGUAGAAUCAGAGAGUGGAAUGGUGAUUGCCAGGUUGUGCGAGUGGGAAACGGGAAGUUACUAAUCAACAGGUAUACAGUUUCAGUUUCAAUUAUGCAAGAUGAGUAAGUUCUGGAGAUCUGCUGAUCAGCACUGUACCUAGGGUCAGCAGUACUGUAUUUACACACUUAAAGAUUUGUUAAGAGAGUACAUCUCAUGUUAAGUGUUUUUACCAUAAUAAUAAUAAUUUUAAGAAAGACUGCCAAGUGAAUAAGCUAUACCAUAUGCAAUGAAAUUCAUGGCCUUAAUAAGUCAAGCAUUCAUUACUAAUUUAUAUUUUCAGAAAGAUAUAGAAGAAUAUUGAUUGAAUUAAAAAAGCAGAAUCAAGUGGAAAAAUUGGGUGAGGAAAAUAUGGCUAUUGAAAUAAGAACUCCAUAAAUGAAUGUAUCACAAUAUGGCUGAACAAUUAGUUUGCUAUAAGAUCAGGUUAAGAAACUCCUUCAAAAGCAUCAAAAUGUAAUACAAAUAUUAGAAAUAUAAAAGAGAAAACAAGUGAUAUAGAGGAUGGAAUGGAAGUGACACCAUGCAAAUCAAAGGUGCCCCUAGAAAGGAAAAAAAUAAAUAACUGGAAGAAAAGAAAUGUUUGUAAAAAGCAUAAACAAAAAUUUGAUUGAAUUUCAGGUUGAGAGAAAUCACUGGGUGCUGAACAGGUUAGAAGAUAAAACAAACAAAAGAACACCUGAAACAUUAUCGACAUUAAGUACAUAAAAAGCUAACAGAAAAUUCUAGUUUCCACUGGGAAGUAUCAUAUCACUUAAAAAAGAAUAAGAAUCAGAAUGGUGGUUUCCAGCUUCACCCAUGUCCCUACGAAGGACAUGAACUCAUCCUUUUUUAUGGCUGCAUAGUAUUCCAUGGUGGAUAGCAUUAGGAGAUAUACCUAAUGUAAAUGACGAGUUAAUGGGUGCAGCACACCAACAUGGCACAUGUAUACAUGUGUAACAAACCUGCAUGUAGUGCACAUGUACCCUAGAACUUAAAGUAUAAUGAUAAUAAUAAAAAGAAUAAGGAUCAUGCUGACAUUAGCCUUCUUAAUGACAAUACUGGAUGCAAGAUAAUGGAGUUGUCCAGCUAAAAAAAGUUAUAUUUUUGAUAUAUUUAUGUAAACAAUUAUAAGUAUUAGGAUGUAAUAAAGAUAUUCUCAGGUGUACAUGACCUCAGGCUUAC